Molecule: long non-coding RNA, 4729 nt
Filed under: Canis lupus familiaris (dog)
Lineage: Eukaryota; Metazoa; Chordata; Mammalia; Carnivora; Canidae
Description: lncRNA (ENSCAFG00845023090.1)
Source: RNAcentral
UUUUUUUUUGGUCAUUCUAUGACAGAAAACCUGAAAGUCAGAAAAGGUUUUCAUCCACUUGGCAUCCCAGUAAGAGACUGACUAUCUCCUACUCCUGGAGCCAGUUGGUCUCUUGUCCACUCUACUGUCUGACGAGGGGUUUCUGUUAAACCAGAACAGCAAGGAUAGGAUUGCCUUUCAACCGGUGGGUGUAUCAGUGCAACGGUGGAAGCCUUUUUAUAACGGCCUCGCGGUCUACCACUGCCUCAGAGAAAACAGAAGCAUUGCGGCAUGCCUUCACCAAUCAUAGCGGCACAAAGGCCCAGGCUUCCUAAAGGCUUUCAGUUUUCUUUAUGAGUUGAAUAUGGCCUCAUAUAGGACAGGGAGGGGAAGGAAAUCAGACUUUAGAAAGUAAUAGUAAGACUUUCCCUGCGGUUAGGAGCACGAUUACAGUAGGAGCUAGAAGCCGGUAUUUGAUACGGUACCUGGACACACCAAGUAACAAAUCACACAAACUAGCUUUGGCUCAAUUGUUUAGAUUGAUUGAAAAUGGCAUAUAGCAUAGGUGGCGGCAGCCUAGAAGUAAGGUUUUCCUGGAACAGAGCCAUGCCGCUCACUUACACGUAGUCUCUGGCUGCUUUUGUGCCCCAACGGCAGAACUGAGCAGCUAUGAGAUUUUGUAUGACCCACCAAGUCUAUAAUAUUUAUACAAAGAGCUUCAUCAGCCCUUGCUUUGAAUAACUAAUUGAUUUUCUUUUCCAGGAGCUGGCAGGGAAGGGAGGUGGACUGGUUUUGUGUCCUAGAAGUAGAGCCUGAUACCCCGGUUAGGGCAUGAGAAGUAGGGAAGAGUCGAGGCAGGGCUCCUGCGUGGCGUGCUGGAUCUGAGGGCAUGUAGCUCUGAAAAUAGACUCAGUGGCCUUCCAACCUGCAGUCCACUUUACUGUGUUAGAGUUUGGAGCCAAGACCUCAAGUCACAAUAGUUUAUUUGCUUUGCUACCUCUGGACAAACAUCUUCUCCAAGAUACUGUGGGAAGGUGAGUGACGGAUCCAAGGCAGAACCCGGUAUACCCAGAAUUGGGUUUUCCCGGGUUCCUAUCAGAAUGCUGCCUGGUAAUGCCUUCAUUGCAUCAGACGUUUGUCUGCAUUGCUGGAGAAAGCUAGUUGAGCGUGCUUGCUGCUAAGGGUUUAAAUUUCUCAUCUCUGAGUAGGCUUAUGGCACCAUCCAUCACAAGCUCAAGCCUGUAAUGUCCCAGCAAAACUGAAGGAGUUCCUUUCUGAUGCUGCCAAUCCCACCUCCCCUCCCAAAUUCUGAGUGAGAACGCCAGCCUUUUGUAGCAGCUCCACAGAGCUAGGGGGUUGGCUUGGAUGCUGAGAGAUACGGUGGACGGUUAGCUUGUUUUCACUAUAUUCUGCUUACUUGUAUUUUAUCUUUGUAGCUUACACUUUUAAAAUUUUUUACUAGGAAGUAGGAGUUUGUGAAUCUAAAACCAAGGAAAAUGUAUGCUUGAACUUUGCAGGGGUUUAUUCCAUACUCCCAAAUGUAGAUCUUCAAUUUGGCCUCCUUUGAGUCCUUGGACUCAAGUAAAAAGAAGUCAGCAUUAUUAUCAUGCUACGUGUUCUACAUGAGUGCUCCUUUAGUCCUUACAGAGACCAUGAGGUUAUUUAUUAUAAGGAAAUGGAAUCUUAGAGAUGCUAGCCUGCUCAAGUUACCCCACGUGGAGGUAAUGAUGCUAGGAUUUCAACCUAAGUAACCUAACGGUUUUUGUUCCUGCACUCCAUGCUGCAUGGGCCUUCUUAAUGUCAGUCCAUUAGGGAGGCCAAAGUUUCACAUUAAAAAUAGCUCCGUUUAGAAUCUGGAAGUUUCAAAGACCAGACAGUAGUAAAUCCAGCUUUAAGUCAGUUUACAGGCUUUGUGAAACAAUGUUUUUCCUUCCAUAGCCAUUUGGUCUUUAAGGAAAUGGAUACCUAGGCAUCUUUGUGAAAUAGAUUGGAAAACUUUCUAAGGAGUACCCUUUAAUGCAACCUCAACUUAACCUUGAAAAACAGUGUGACAGGUAAUUGUUGGUUUUUCUCCCCAACAGCCACCUCUCUUCUUCCUAACAAAAUCCCAACCUUGUUCAGGUUUGGGUGACAACUUGCUUAACGGAUCACUGGCUUGCCCUAAGAUGUGAAUGUUGGUUAGUCCAAAUCAUUCACGGGAUUCUGUUUUCCUUGCCAGGGAUUGGUUUAGGCACGGACACAUGAUACAACCUGGGACAAUAAUACAAAGAUGGCAGACCAUUGGGGUGCUUUUGUAAGGUUUUUCUAACUUUUGAAAUUAAAAAAAAAAGAAAAAGCACUAGUUGAAGCUCAUCCCUUCCUACAUUUGUACGUUGCAAAUGAGAUGUAGUAUUUGAGGCUAAGCAGUCCUCUUGUCACCAUGAGGGGAGAACCAAGUGAAUUACACAGAAUCCUUGGAAACGUUGCACUUUUGAAUCAAUCAGUGUUGGAAUAACCUAUUCUGUAUUUGUUAUGAUAAAGAAUUCAUUAUAUUAUGAUUUAAGACACCCGUAUGCAUUUUUACCAAAAUGGUCUGAUUACCCUGACCUUUUCCACAAGACUCUUUGGAAGAAGGUACAACAGAGAAAAGCAAGGCAAAGCUGACUAAGCAGAUGUCCCUUCCUUCAAAGCGAAGCUCAAUGCAGCCUUUUGUUAAGAAGUUCCUGAGUACAGGAAAAAAAGGCACUUAGGAGUGGAGUUAGUACUUGAGACUUUAAGAAGUCUUUACAAAGACAAGGGUUUCUGAUAUUCCUUAACCAAAAGGGGCUCAAAAAAACCCUGUGCCUUGCUAGAGCAAAGGAAGGUAUUUUCGAUCAUGGAGCACGGUGCCCUUUCAAGGAGGAAGUCCCAGGGUUCUAGAAGCUAGUCAACAAAUGUUUUCUAAAUAGCUGUGAACUCUUGGCCUAUGUAAGAAGAAAGAUCACCCAAAGGGGGCUUGAAAUUACAGAACUCACUCUUAGACAAUCCUGGUACUAAAACUUGCCAUCCCUACAUCUUUUUCACCCAUUCUUUAAGGCAGUUUGUUUUCUCCCUGCUUUCAAGAGGGCCAGGCUAGCUGACUCCCUAUAGUGCUUGUCUUUUUUCAGUAAAUACCCCUUAGAAGAAGUCUUAUUUUAAGUAAGGUUUGUCUUUAGCACGUGUAUAUACCACUCUCAGAAAGCCACUGGUGGUUUACUCUCUUGGAAUUUCGCACCACCUUUUAAAAUUUCCAAUAAGCAUGGGAAGUUUCCUUAUUUGCAGUGCUCCUUUCAAUUGCUGAUUUCUAUGAGCUUGAUAAGUCUUUAAUAGGAUUUCUGUUAUAUUUACUAUUUGUAUUACCUGCUUAUUGCUGUUGCAAAUUACCACAAACUUGGUGGCUUAAAACAAAGCAAAUUUAUUUCUAAUUUCUCUCUGAUCUCUGCUUCCCUCUGAUUAUAUUGGGCUCCCUAGGACAAUCUUCCCAUCUCAAAACCCUUAAUUGAAUCACAACUACAAAUCCUCUUUUGCUAUAUAAUGCUAACAUAUCCCUACGGGUCAUUAUUUAGGCUACCACUCUACUAUUUCUAGUAUUACUAACAUUUUGUUGUAUACCAUGAGCGAGUUACUGGGCUAACUCUUUACUUUUUUAAAUCUCAAUUAGUCCACAAGCCACAUACUAAGAUUGUCUUUCUCAGGUUUGUGACUAAGCCAUUGCUUUCUGGUAAGUGCAGUAAUUCCGUCACAAAAUUGAGUAACAAUGAUUCACAAAAUUUGCAUUCCCACUGCAAUCUAGCACUGACUUAUAUAUACCUACAAUUAUAAAAAUAAGAUUACAAACUUGUAUUUUUAGAAAAAUGUAAGUCAUGUGGGGUAGAAACUUGCAUUUAGAAAUAAGCUACAUUUAUGAGUGGUUGAAACUAAAGCUGUGGUUACUGGGUUGAGUUAGCUUAGAUCCAUGAGACCAAUGCUAAUUAGAUUUAUGGUUGCUACCCCUAAGUGGGACAUUUCAUUGCACUCAGCUUAGAAAUCAUGACUUAAAUUCUUGACAAAAAUACUGUGAAAUGCAGAUAUUCAAGGAGGGCCUUCAUCAGAGAACUGUGGGUUAAUGCCCCAAAUCCAUUACUGCUGCUCAAAAACUGAUUUAUAAACUGAUGAGCAUUGAAGAGUCCCUCAUUAUCAUGUAGUUGAGAAGCAUCUGUUUAGUGUACGCCUGCCGCUCACAUUUAUUAGAUGCAGUCCUUAUUGUACUGUGAAGCACUAUGAAGGGCAGCUGAUUUAUCUAAACAGAAAGACCUGCCAAAUGACAAUUUGGCACCUAAAACAUUGCUAGAUAUUAGACAGGUUAGAGACUUGAACACUAGUUUGAGCCCCUUAAUGGUGUGAUUUGAUUAGGGCUUUUUAAAGAUUGGAUAUAGUUAAGGAGAUAUAUACCAUUAUAAAACUUGAAUAUAGAAAUAGUUUAGCCCAGUGGCUUCCAGUCUGUUGGCUGUAAACUAGCAGCAUAUGGGAGUUAUUGUAAGGAGCCCAUUAAUCCAUUUGAGCACCAAAUGUUGUUUGUAGACUAGGUAUAUCCUACGUAUCAAAUGCAGAUAUGGUUGUGAUGAGUAACACAAAUUUUCAUUAAAAGACCACUGAGGGUGGUAGAAGGGGAGAAGGGCGGGGGGUGGGAGUGAAUGGGUGACGGGCACUGGGGGUUAUUCUGUAUGUUAGUAAAUUGAACACCAAUAAAAAAUAAAUUAAAAAAAAAAAAAAA